UUGGGGAAAAUGCAAGACAUUUGAGAAAGGGAAGAAAAGGGCACCUCAACAUGCUCAAGGUCAAGCAGACUGCUGCGCAUGAUGGAUAUCCCCAUGACAAUUCACAAAAGCUUGAAUGGAAACUGAAAUCUGAUGGUGGAAACCAAACGUUGAAGUAAUUUGAUAUGAUGAGAUCAUGUGUUGCAGACCUUCAUCAGAUGGAAAC
Saccostrea echinata is the source of this 205-nucleotide long non-coding RNA. RefSeq lists it as uncharacterized. The record is from RefSeq and is a predicted model, not a curated record. The transcript has 3 exons. Lineage: Eukaryota; Metazoa; Mollusca; Bivalvia; Ostreida; Ostreidae.